Molecule: long non-coding RNA, 218 nt
Organism: Xenia sp. Carnegie-2017
Lineage: Eukaryota; Metazoa; Cnidaria; Anthozoa; Malacalcyonacea; Xeniidae
Exons: 2
Source: RefSeq, a predicted model, not a curated record
UAUGUGACAUUCGUUAAAGUAUUCAACUGGCCGAAUAUAUUUUGUUUAUUUUAGCGGAGUUUAACACAAAUCAAGAUAUUGUUUGUUAUACAUGGUUCAUAAAACAAUGAAGAUGCAAAUAUGUAUAUUUGGCAUUGUCCUUUUGUGGUUGCACAGAUUGUCUGAGGUUGAACUCAGCCCGGCAAGCCGUAAGACAUCAACCAUUCUUCAACAAAAAC